AUUGCGGCGGUCUCUAAUUUGCUUGGUGCAGGCCGGGACUUUCACGGCGCCGCCGCCGCUCGACGGCCGGCUCAGCUUGAUAGAUGCGUUUGCGCGUCGUCCUCGGCGAGUUUAGGUCCCGCCCUGUAUCAAAUGAAUCGGAGGCCGCCCGGUAU
Molecule: microRNA precursor, 155 nt
Filed under: Ipomoea nil (Japanese morning glory)
Lineage: Eukaryota; Viridiplantae; Streptophyta; Magnoliopsida; Solanales; Convolvulaceae
Description: MIR168 microRNA precursor family
Rfam family: MIR168 microRNA precursor family
Source: Rfam by way of RNAcentral